This 254-nucleotide ribosomal RNA is filed under the name uncultured bacterium. Its description in RNAcentral is "partial 16S ribosomal RNA". It matches the Rfam family "Bacterial small subunit ribosomal RNA", at positions 524 to 776 of the family's 1533-position model. The record is from RNAcentral.
UACGAAGGGGGCUAGCGUUGUUCGGAUUAACUGGGCGUAAAGCGCGCGUAGGCGGGUUUUUAAGUCAGGGGUGAAAUCCCAAGGCUCAACCUUGGAACUGCCUUUGAUACUGGAAAUCUUGAGUCCGGGAGAGGUGAGUGGAACUGCGAGUGUAGAGGUGAAAUUCGUAGAUAUUCGCAAGAACACCGGUGGCGAAGGCGGCUCACUGGCCCGGUACUGACGCUGAGGUGCGAAAGCGUGGGGGAGCAAACAGG